This 164-nucleotide long non-coding RNA is filed under the name Ictidomys tridecemlineatus (thirteen-lined ground squirrel). RNAcentral describes it as "lncRNA (ENSSTOG00000029309.1)". The record is from RNAcentral. Lineage: Eukaryota; Metazoa; Chordata; Mammalia; Rodentia; Sciuridae.
CGGGGCCAAGGGAAAUCUCAGUCCUGCUCAAAGCUGCAGACCCUCCUGAACAUGACAGAUUCGAAGGCUGUGAGGGACUUGAAGAACUGCUGCGCCUCGCCUGCUCGUCUGGUGUUAUGAAGCCCACCUUCCUGCUGCUCCGCCUGGUCAUUAACAUCACCAGG